AACGAACGCUGGCGGCAUGCCUAACACAUGCAAGUCGAACGAUCACUUCGGUGAUAGUGGCGCACGGGUGCGUAACGCGUGGGAACCUGCCCUUAGGUUCGGAAUAACUCAGAGAAAUUUGAGCUAAUACCGGAUAAUGUCUUCGGACCAAAGAUUUAUCGCCUUUGGAUGGGCCCGCGUUGGAUUAGCUUGUUGGUGGGGUAAAAGCCUACCAAGGCGACGAUCCAUAGCUGGUCUGAGAGGAUGAUCAGCCACACUGGGACUGAGACACGGCCCAGACUCCUACGGGAGGCAGCAGUGGGGAAUAUUGGACAAUGGGCGAAAGCCUGAUCCAGCAAUGCCGCGUGAGUGAUGAAGGCCUUAGGGUUGUAAAGCUCUUUUACUAGGGAUGAUAAUGACAGUACCUAGAGAAUAAGCUCCGGCUAACUCCGUG
This 433-nucleotide ribosomal RNA is filed under the name uncultured bacterium. RNAcentral describes it as "bacterial SSU rRNA". It matches the Rfam family "Bacterial small subunit ribosomal RNA", at positions 29 to 507 of the family's 1533-position model. The record is from RNAcentral.